This is a long non-coding RNA of Ictalurus punctatus (channel catfish), 1079 nucleotides long. The record is from Ensembl. Lineage: Eukaryota; Metazoa; Chordata; Actinopteri; Siluriformes; Ictaluridae.
GCCUCUCACAAUGCGUCAUGGUCGAAAACCCACCCUUUCCUUUCGUUGCUACGGACUACAGAGUGUGACGCUGGGCUAUCGAGACUGUGUGCAGGUGUGAUGUGCUGCCCAAUCUCAGUGCGCUGUGCCGUCAAGGCUCCCAACUGUGUAGCAUGCUAGUUUAACGUAGCUCCGGUCGGAGCUCCAGCUGUCGUCGUCACAACUAUUAAAGACGCUAUCAUGACUUUCGUAUGUACCAUCGUGAGUAUCAUGUCAUCGGAUCACGCACAAGCCUUCAACUAAAAGCACACAGGCAAUCUCACCCUGAGUCUGGUGCAAGCAGAACUAAAAUACCAUCAGUUAAAAUGUUAGCCAAUCAAUGGGAAAGGCGAGAGGUCAGGGGAGGAGGCAAAUCCUGCGUAAGGAAAAGUCACGCUCUCUUUCGGCUGCAGGCGAGACACGGAGAAGAUCACACUGGAGAACUGUAAAGUGAUUAAUGCUACUUUUCGUGCUUAAGUAAUACUUAAUGGUUUUCAGACCGAUAACCUAUUCACUACUUUGCAUGCGGAAGAAGUUGGUAUCACAUAGAGACAUUUUCAAAAUGAAUUUGUCGGAAUAGCUCAGCUAAUAGUAUUGCCUGAAAAGUUAGCAACUCGGUAGCUGGGACUGUGUUAGGCUAACUGACUUCGUCAACCAAUGAGUUGCCUCUGAGGAACAAGACUGUGGGACUAACCGGAGGAAGACGGCCUGCUGUUUGAACUGAUACGCGAACUACAGCAUCGCGUGAGCAACUGCACACACCGAGAGCGCACGAGCAGGGCUGCAGUGACGGUGCAUGGACCCUCUCUGGGCACGGACAUCCCCAUCAACCUUGUGAGUGAAUUUGUUUGGUUUUGUUGUGCGAUUCGCAUGAAGUGGCCAAUACAGUUUUAAGGCCUCAACGUCCCCAAGCUACGAUUUAGGCCUGCAUCAGGAACAUUGGUGUAUGUGGGGUUUAUAGAAAUUCUGGUGUGCCGGCUUAGGUAGGCUAUUGUUUUGGGCCCAUAGGUUAAAGGGUAUAACUGAAAACUGCUUGUUUUAUGCAUAUACAUGGGGUUAUA